Molecule: ribosomal RNA, 468 nt
Filed under: uncultured bacterium
Lineage: Bacteria
Description: partial 16S ribosomal RNA
Rfam family: Bacterial small subunit ribosomal RNA
Source: RNAcentral
GACGAACGCUGGCGGCGUGCUUAACACAUGCAAGUCGAACGGAAAGGCCCUGCUUCUGUGGGGUGCUCGAGUGGCGAACGGGUGAGUAACACGUGAGUAACCUGCCCUUGACUUUGGGAUAACUUCAGGAAACUGGGGCUAAUACCGGAUAGGAGCUCCUGCUGCAUGGUGGGGGUUGGAAAGUUUCGGCGGUUGGGGAUGGACUCGCGGCUUAUCAGCUUGUCGGUGGGGUAGUGGCUUACCAAGGCCUUGACGGGUAGACGGCCUGAGAAGGUGGCCGGCCACAUUGGGACUGCGAUACGGACCAGACUCCUACGUGACGCAGCAGUGGGAAACAUUGCGCAGUGGGCGGAAGCGUGAUGCAGCAGCGCCGCGUGCGUGAUGACGGCCUUCUGGUUGUGAACCGCUUUCGCCUAUGACGAAGCGUGAGUGACGGUAAUGGGUAAAGAAGCACCGGCUAACUACGUG